CUCCUCAUGGGAGUUUGGGGUGGUUGCUGGAGGUUAGCACCUUAUGGCUCCCACAG
This 56-nucleotide microRNA precursor is filed under the name Chlorocebus sabaeus (green monkey). RNAcentral's name for it is "miRNA (ENSCSAG00000023531.1)". Lineage: Eukaryota; Metazoa; Chordata; Mammalia; Primates; Cercopithecidae. The record is from RNAcentral.